UGGGGAAUUUUGGGACAAUGGGGGAAACCCUGAUCCAGCCAUCCCGCGUGUGCGAUGAAGGCCUUCGGGUUGUAAAGCACUUUUGGCAGGAAAGAAACGUCGCGGGUUAAUACCCCGCGAAACUGACGGUACCUGCAGAAUAAGCACCGGCUAACUACGUGCCAGCAGCCGCGGUAAUACGUAGGGUGCAAGCGUUAAUCGGAAUUACUGGGCGUAAAGCGUGCGCAGGCGGUUCGGAAAGAAAGAUGUGAAAUCCCAGAGCUUAACUUUGGAACUGCAUUUUUAACUACCGGGCUAGAGUGUGUCAGAGGGAGGUGGAAUUCCGCGUGUAGCAGUGAAAUGCGUAGAUAUGCGGAGGAACACCGAUGGCGAAGGCAGCCUCCUGGGGUAACACUGACGCUCAUGCACGAAAGCGUGGGGGAGCAAACAGGAUUAGAUACCCUGGUAGUCCACGCCCUAAACGAUGUCAACUAGCUGUUGGGGGCCUUCGGGCCUUGGUAGCGCAGCUAACGCGUGAAGUUGACCGCCUGGGGAGUACGGUCGCAAGAUUAAAACUUAAAUGAAUUGACGGGGGUCAUAGCUGUUUU
This 587-nucleotide ribosomal RNA is filed under the name uncultured bacterium. RNAcentral describes it as "partial 16S ribosomal RNA". It matches the Rfam family "Bacterial small subunit ribosomal RNA", at positions 355 to 936 of the family's 1533-position model. The record is from RNAcentral.